Molecule: ribosomal RNA, 292 nt
Filed under: uncultured bacterium
Lineage: Bacteria
Description: partial 16S ribosomal RNA
Source: RNAcentral
GGACUACUGGGGUAUCUAAUCCUGUUCGCUCCCCACGCUUUCGCGUCUCAGCGUCAGUACCGUCCCAGAGAGCCGCCUUCGCCACGGGUGUUCUUCCCGAUAUCUGCGCAUUUCACCGCUACACCGGGAAUUCCACUCUCCUCUUCCGGACUCUAGCUUUACGGUUUCCACCGACAGCUCGAGGUUGAGCCUCGAGUUUUCACAGCGGACCUGUAAAGCCGCCUACACGCUCUUUACGCCCAAUAAAUCCGGACAACGCUUGCCCCCUACGUAUUACCGCGGCUGCUGGCAC